RNAcentral lists this non-coding RNA (28 nucleotides) under Mus musculus (house mouse). Lineage: Eukaryota; Metazoa; Chordata; Mammalia; Rodentia; Muridae. The record is from RNAcentral.
UGCUACUUCUAAACAUGAUUUACCUCUC